ACAGUCAGUUUAUCUAUUCCGGCUCCUGUCCGAUUCCGACAUAUUUCUAGAUUGAAUGGCUGGUACGGAGAGAGUAUGUUUAGAAACUUAAUUUUGUCUGUUGUUUCAUGUAAAGUAAUUAUUUCUUUGUCUACUGAAUGGAUGUUUACAAAAUGUAUGAACUCUUGGUCUGCCAGCGCUUGGAUUUCCAAAACGAGGCUUCAGAUCGGUUGAAUUUCCGGCGCGUUUUUUCGGACGUCUGAAAAGUCGGUGGACAACAUUAAUCUGUUCAAUGACCGAGGUUACCAAAAGAUACAAUUGCCAUGGGAAAGCAGAAGACAAACAGAUCAUCAGUACAUUGUAGUCCAGCUGUAGAGGCAGCAAAAUCUGUAAAGCGGCACGAGUACUGGUUAUGUAUCUAAGAAGCAGAAUUGAGAAGGAAUAGUCUUAAGCUGUAAGAACUUGUUUCCCAAAUGUUGUAAAAUUAUUAAGUUUAAACUAAAUUGUUGCUGUAAAUUGUAACAGGUAUGAAUGAGUUAACACAUAACCAAACAAUAAAGAUAUUUUAGAUGUUUGUUGCAGAUGACAUAGGACAUCACUAGGAUAAAAGUAAUAUUUACUCAUUUUAGCAAUUUCUCAUUUUAUCAUAAUGAUUUCUACCCUACCAAAUCAAUUUCUUCCUUCUCUAUCAAAGUUCCAUUUUUUUCUGCAACCUCAUUGAAUUUAGGACAUUCCAAAUGUAUUGUUUGGUAACAAGUUGACACCGAACUUCAUUUUUUCCCCCACAAAAUAUGUGAUAAUAUACUCAAUGAAUAUGCUAGUCCUUUAUGUCUUGUUUGUUAAUUAUAUAUUUUUAUAUUUUUUUAUUUUGUUAUUGAUUUUAAACCUUUCAAUGCUGCAUUUCAAGAUUUGGAAUUAAUGUGUCUAUGGACUGGAUUUAAGCACUUGCAUCCAAUUAGCUCAGCCUUCCAAAAUAGCCAAAAUGAUUUGAGACAGUUUGUAACAAAGAUUCAACUACACGAAUGUGUGUGUUAUCUUUGAAACACAUUGUUGAUAAGACACGCAAAAAAUAUCCAGCAUUGAAAGUGUUAUUUCAACAGGCAGUUGAUUUGCUAGAAAUAAAAUUGUAAAAUUA
Molecule: long non-coding RNA, 1114 nt
Organism: Dreissena polymorpha
Lineage: Eukaryota; Metazoa; Mollusca; Bivalvia; Myida; Dreissenidae
Exons: 3
Source: RefSeq, a predicted model, not a curated record